GUCUUGGCUGGAGGCUGAAGAUGUCUUCCUCCAGGGCCCCAUUUAUCACGCAAGUGAAGUUGAGGAAUUUAACAGAAGAAUUGCUCGAGAAAUGAAAAAUCUCCCCAACAAGAAUCUCGAUGACUUGUAGGACCUCAUGAAAAUUUAUAAAAAAAUAAAGUUUGGUGUGAGAAAAUUACUCAGAGUACUGUCAUUUAUUCUGUGAAUAAUAAGAUAAUGUUCAUUCCCUCAACUCGAUACUAAAGAGUUUGAUAAAUCCUUAAUGAUUUAAAAACAAAAAACAACAACAAAAACAAUAAAUGACUGAAAAUAUUUAAGUAACUGAACAAUAUCUAU
Molecule: non-coding RNA, 336 nt
Organism: Danio rerio (zebrafish)
Lineage: Eukaryota; Metazoa; Chordata; Actinopteri; Cypriniformes; Danionidae
Source: RefSeq, a predicted model, not a curated record